CGAAAACGUUUGGCAAGGACAUACCCAUUGAUCAAGGACGAAAAUUAGGGGAUCGAAGACGAUUAGAUACCGUCGUAGUCUUAACCAUAAACGAUGCCAUCUUAGGGAUGGUAUGUUUUUUUACAUAUAAAGCAUAUCAUUACUUUCCGGGAAACCAAAGACUUUGGGUUCUGGGGGGAGUAUGGUCGCAAGUCUGAAACUUAAAGGAAUUGACGGAAGGGCACCACCAGGAGUGGAGCCUGCGGCUUAAUUUGACUCAACACGGGGCAACUUACCAGGUCCGGACAUGAACAUGAUUGACCGAUUGAUAGCUCUUUCAAGAUUUUAUGGGUGGUGGUGCAUGGCCGUUCUUAGUUGGUGGAGUGAUUUGUCUGGUUAAUUCCGUUAACGAACGAGACCUUAACCUACUAGUUAGUUGGUUGAAUAGGAUUAAAAAUUUGUGAACCAGAUUUUAAUUUUAUUUAAUAUCUCAACUUCAUAGAGGGACCAUCUGUGUUUGUAAUAGAUGGAAGUUUGAGGCAAUAACAGGUCUGUGAUGCCCUUUGAUGUCCUGGGCUGCACGCGGGCUACACUGAUACAUUCAUUGAGUUUUUAUGAUAACCUUAUCUGAAGAGAUUGGGUAAUCUUUUAAAAUGUAUCGUUCUU
This 645-nucleotide ribosomal RNA is filed under the name Galdieria sulphuraria. RNAcentral's name for it is "SSU rRNA". It matches the Rfam family "Eukaryotic small subunit ribosomal RNA", at positions 946 to 1572 of the family's 1831-position model. The record is from RNAcentral. Lineage: Eukaryota; Rhodophyta; Bangiophyceae; Galdieriales; Galdieriaceae.